Molecule: transfer RNA, 67 nt
Filed under: Lamprocoris sp. HL-2012
Lineage: Eukaryota; Metazoa; Arthropoda; Insecta; Hemiptera; Scutelleridae
Description: tRNA-Cys
Rfam family: tRNA
About the family: Transfer RNA (tRNA) molecules are approximately 80 nucleotides in length. Their secondary structure includes four short double-helical elements and three loops (D, anti-codon, and T loops).
Source: RNAcentral
GGCUUUAUAGUCAAAUUUAUGAUAUUAGACUGCAAUUCUAAAGUUAAGAUAAUAUUCUUUAAAGCUU